This 822-nucleotide ribosomal RNA is filed under the name Geobacillus sp. ISIJU-4. RNAcentral describes it as "bacterial SSU rRNA". It matches the Rfam family "Bacterial small subunit ribosomal RNA", at positions 1 to 797 of the family's 1533-position model. Lineage: Bacteria; Bacillati; Bacillota; Bacilli; Caryophanales; Anoxybacillaceae. The record is from RNAcentral.
GUAGUAGGUCAUCCAUAGCGGAGAGGUUUAUAUGCUGGACGGGAAAGCAAGGACAUCGCAUUGCAUUUUUUUUGUUCCUGUCCUCGAGCGAGACGGGCUGCACUACACGUGGUGUAACCUGCCCGUAAGACCGGGAUAACUCCGGGUAACCGGGGCUAAUACCGGAUACACCGAAGACCGCAUGGUCUUUGGUUGAAAGGUGGCUUUUGCUACCACUUACGGAUGGGCCCGCGGCGCAUUAGCUAGUUGGUGAGGUAACGGCUCACCAAGGCGACGAUGCGUAGCCGGCCUGAGAGGGUGACCGGCCACACUGGGACUGAGACACGGCCCAGACUCCUACGGGAGGCAGCAGUAGGGAAUCUUCCGCAAUGGACGAAAGUCUGACGGAGCGACGCCGCGUGAGCGAAGAAGGUCUUCGGAUCGUAAAGCUCUGUUGUUAGGGAAGAAGAAGUACCGUUCGAAUAGGGCGGUACGGUGACGGUACCUAACGAGAAAGCCCCGGCUAACUACGUGCCAGCAGCCGCGGUAAUACGUAGGGGGCGAGCGUUGUCCGGGAAUUAUUGUGGCGUAAAGCCGCGCGCAAGCGGUCCCUUAAGUCUGGAUGUGAAAGCCCACGGCUCAACCGUGGGAGGGUCGUUGGGAAACUGGGGGGACUUGAGUGCAGAAAGAGGAGAACGGAGUUUCCACGUGUGGCGGUGAAAAUGCAUAAAAAUUUGGGAAGGAACCCCGCGGGCGAAGGGCGGGUGUGUUGGUCGGAUAAUAAAACUAAAAGGGCGAAAGGGUGGGGGACAAAAACGAAUUAGAAUACCCAGGGUGGGUCCC